This 153-nucleotide non-coding RNA is filed under the name Maritimibacter alkaliphilus HTCC2654. RNAcentral describes it as "Ruegeria cis2 sRNA". It matches the Rfam family "Ruegeria cis2 sRNA". From Rfam's summary of the family: Cis-encoded. Targets ABC transporter. Lineage: Bacteria; Pseudomonadati; Pseudomonadota; Alphaproteobacteria; Rhodobacterales; Roseobacteraceae. The record is from Rfam by way of RNAcentral.
GUUCGAGUAAUGCGGGUUGUAGUUGAUGAACAUGAACCCGCGGCAUUGGUCGAUGAUGUGAAAGAGCGGGUUCCACGAGAACAGGACGAUGAUGUUCCACGGCACCGUGUUGGCCACGAACAUCUUGCCGGAUGCGAUCAUGUUGGCGCGGGC